GAGAUAGAGCCUUCCCCUUCGGGGGACAAAGUGACAGGUGGUGCAUGGUUGUCGUCAGCUCGUGUCGUGAGAUGUUGGGUUAAGUCCCGCAACGAGCGCAACCCUUAAGCUUAGUUGCCAUCAUUAAGUUGGGCACUCUAAGUUGACUGCCGGUGACAAACCGGAGGAAGGUGGGGAUGACGUCAAAUCAUCAUGCCCCUUAUGAUUUGGGCUACACACGUGCUACAAUGGACAAUACAAAGGGCAGCGAAACCGCGAGGUCAAGCAAAUCCCAUAAAGUUGUUCUCAGUUCGGAUUGUAGUCUGCAACUCGACUACAUGAAGCUGGAAUCGCUAGUAAUCGUAGAUCAGCAUGCUACGGUGAAUACGUUCCCGGGUCUUGUACACACCGCCCGUCACACCACGAGAGUUUGUAACACCCGAAGCCGGUGGAGUAACCUUUUAGGAGCUAGCCGUCGAAGGUGGGACAAAUGAUUGGGGUGAAGUCGUAACAAGGUAGCCGUAUCGGAAGGUGCGGCUGGAUCACCUCCUUU
RNAcentral lists this ribosomal RNA (532 nucleotides) under Staphylococcus aureus. Its description in RNAcentral is "bacterial SSU rRNA". It matches the Rfam family "Bacterial small subunit ribosomal RNA", at positions 1003 to 1533 of the family's 1533-position model. Lineage: Bacteria; Bacillati; Bacillota; Bacilli; Caryophanales; Staphylococcaceae. The record is from RNAcentral.